UACGUAGGGGGCAAGCGUUGUCCGGAUUUAUUGGGCGUAAAGAGCGUGUAGGCGGCUAUACAGGUCCGCUGUGAAAACUCGAGGCUCAACCUCGAGACGUCGGUGGAAACCAUCUGGCUAGAGUACGGAAGAGGCGAGUGGAAUUCCUGGUGUAGCGGUGGAAUGCGCAGAUAUCAGGAGGAACACCAAUAGCGAAGGCAGCUCGCUGGGACGUUACUGACACUGAGGCGCGAAAGCGUGGGGAGCGAACAGG
RNAcentral lists this ribosomal RNA (253 nucleotides) under uncultured bacterium. RNAcentral describes it as "partial 16S ribosomal RNA". It matches the Rfam family "Bacterial small subunit ribosomal RNA", at positions 524 to 776 of the family's 1533-position model. The record is from RNAcentral.